Molecule: ribosomal RNA, 253 nt
Filed under: uncultured bacterium
Lineage: Bacteria
Description: partial 16S ribosomal RNA
Rfam family: Bacterial small subunit ribosomal RNA
Source: RNAcentral
UACGUAGGGGGCUAGCGUUGUCCGGAAUCAUUGGGCGUAAAGAGCGUGUAGGCGGCCCGGUAAGUCCGCUGUGAAAGUCCAGGGCUCAACCCUGGGAUGCCGGUGGAUACUGUCGGGCUCGAGUCCGGAAGAGGAGUGUGGAAUUCCUGGUGUAGCGGUGAAAUGCGCAGAUAUCAGGAGGAACACCAAUGGCGAAGGCAGCACUCUGGGACGUGACUGACGCUGAGACGCGAAAGCGUGGGGAGCAAAUAGG